Molecule: ribosomal RNA, 468 nt
Filed under: uncultured bacterium
Lineage: Bacteria
Description: partial 16S ribosomal RNA
Rfam family: Bacterial small subunit ribosomal RNA
Source: RNAcentral
GACGAACGCUGGCGGCGUGCUUAACACAUGCAAGUCGAACGGAAAGGCCCUGCUUUUGUGGGGUGCUCGAGUGGCGAACGGGUGAGUAACACGUGAGUAACCUGCCCUUGACUUUGGGAUAACUUCAGGAAACUGGGGCUAAUACCGGAUAGGAGCUCCUGCUGCAUGGUGGGGGUUGGAAAGUUUCGGCGGUUGGGGAUGGACUCGCGGCUUAUCAGCUUGUUGGUGGGGUAGUGGCUUACCAAGGCUUUGACGGGUAGCCGGCCUGGGAGGGUGACCGGCCACAUUGGGCCUGAGAUACGGCCCAGACUCCUACGGGAGGCAGCAGUGGGGAAUAUUGCACAAUGGGCGGAAGCCUGAUGCAGCGACGCCGCGUGCGGGAUGACGGCCUUCGGGUUGUAAACCGCUUUCGCCUGUGACGAAGCGUGAGUGACGGUAAUGGGUAAAGAAGCACCGGCUAACUACGUG